GCGUCUCUCCGGCUCCUGGCGCGGGGCUGACUUGGGGGCUGCUGGCCCUCUUGGCCGCCGUCGCUACGCACCGAGUUCGUGUUUAAGGAGAAACUAACGAUGAAAACGGACUCGUUGACGGAGGAAAAGUUGGAAUGCAGCCUCUGGUGCUGUUUGAGCGAUCCCUCUCCCCGGGGCCUGGCCGCGCGCUGCUGUGUUCUGGAAGGGCUCAUUGUACAGUCAAGGUGGAGUCUUGAGGAUCCAUUUUCUGAGAUGGUGAUGGGAAAGAUGUUGGUUGUCAAGUGGAAUCUCAGCAGUCAUUUUCAGACAAAGUUAGAGAAAACAAGUAUGGAAGAUGCCUGAUUCUCAAAGAGUCAUCCAGUCUUGGGAUUACCGCCUACGUCCAUGGAAGUGAAAGUCCUCUUUUUCUUUGUACCACUUACUGAG
RNAcentral lists this long non-coding RNA (426 nucleotides) under Pan troglodytes (chimpanzee). Its description in RNAcentral is "lincRNA". The record is from RNAcentral. Lineage: Eukaryota; Metazoa; Chordata; Mammalia; Primates; Hominidae.